This 360-nucleotide ribosomal RNA is filed under the name uncultured Resinicium. RNAcentral describes it as "eukaryotic LSU rRNA". The stretch from base 1 to 122 matches the Rfam family "5.8S ribosomal RNA", at positions 33 to 154 of the family's 154-position model. Lineage: Eukaryota; Fungi; Basidiomycota; Agaricomycetes; Hymenochaetales. The record is from RNAcentral.
UCGAUGAAGAACGCAGCGAAAUGCGAUAAGUAAUGUGAAUUGCAGAAUUCAGUGAAUCAUCGAAUCUUUGAACGCACCUUGCGCUCCCUGGUAUUCCGGGGAGCAUGCCUGUUUGAGUGUCGUGAAAUCAUCAUGGUCAUGAUCUUUAAUUAAUCAUGGCUUGGUUUUGGAGGUUAUGUUGGCUUUUAUUAAGUUGACUCCUCUUAAAUACAUUAGCUCAGUGUUUAAUGCUUAGAGCGGUUCACGGUGUGAUAAUUAUCUACACUUCAACCAAUUUAAGUUAGCUGGCUUCUAAUCGAUCCUUAGUGAUCACUUUGUGUAUUUGACCUCAAAUCAGGUAGGACUACCCGCUGAACUUAA